This 103-nucleotide transfer RNA is filed under the name Vibrio phage 242E40-1. Its description in RNAcentral is "tRNA-Und". It matches the Rfam family "tRNA". Rfam says of the family: Transfer RNA (tRNA) molecules are approximately 80 nucleotides in length. Lineage: Duplodnaviria; Heunggongvirae; Uroviricota; Caudoviricetes. The record is from RNAcentral.
GUACGUGUAGCAUAAUUGGUAAUGCAGGUGGUUAGUAAGGUUCAACUCCUUAUUGAUUCCGGUGAAAGCUGCAAGUAUGAGGUUUCGAUACCCUCCACGUACA